UUUUACUUUGACUCGGCUGCCAAACCGAGGCUCCGGUGCUAUCAAAUCACAGUUCUAUCUGACCCUUCAAAAGCCAUAUUUAUGUUUUUUUGUUUCUCUUCCAUCAUUUCUUGGGGCUUCCUUUAGUUUCCCUUCCUCGAUUAAUUUAGUCGUGGCAGUCCGGAGAGACAAGAUCAAAUAACUCAAUUUCCCCCAUUUUUGGCAAACAUGCCCCCUGUUAUUCUCUUUCUGUCCCCUCUGUUCAUCGUUGAUCACCCUUUACUCCCCCCUUCACUGCCUUCUGGCAUUUACUAAGGGAUUUUCGUGAACCCCAUUUCGUCUAUUCCAUGGAUGAUUUAGUUUACGCUAUUAGGGCUGAGGGCUUCUCUUAUUUAUGGAGUUGAUCUCAACUAUUUUGCCCAGAGUCUUUGUGGGUGUGCGUUAACUUCAUUUCUUUUUUCUCCCUUGCAUGUCCAGAUUUCAUAGUACUAAGCACUCUGGUUAUUUUUUUUGUUUUUGUUGGGGUUUGCCUAAAAUGGGUAAGUUUCAGUUGUCAAUGUGUCGAUCAUUCAUGUUUUGGAUUUUCUUUUGUUUUUAUUAACUGGGUCCUGGCUUAAUGGCAAGUCCUACCUAGAUUUGCUUAUAUUUGUUUGUUUUAUGCUGUUGAUUAGGAUUUAGUAAAUCUGUUUGGAGGUAUUACGAAUUAUAUGUGUGAGGUGAGUGAUGCUUAGGAUGCUGAAUCUGAUCCCUCUAAACUUGAUUUUGUUUUUAGUCAUUUGUUUAAUUUAUAUGUUCAUCAUUGUUCAUUUGCAGUAUAUGCAUUUCAAGCGUAUCUGUUUAUUGUUCUUUAUAAAGUAUCCAGUCAUAAUUCAUUUGGAUUAAAUAGCCACGGUUUUAUUAUUUAUUAUUACUUGUUUUUCUAAUCUCAGGAUAGCAUUUUUGUUCGUUUUUUUUUUUUUUUUUGGUCGAGUUGCAUGCUAUUGAAUGAGAAAUUUGUUAGAUGUAUUUCUGUUUUUGUACAAAAUUUUUUAAGUUAGCUUGUUUCUCAACGUUUAAAUCUUGUACAUGCAAAUAGGAUUGUUUUCUUUUAAAUGGUCUAAUUUCUAAAUGAUUCUCAUAUGUAACAACUGUGAUCUGAAAUUUUUGUUUUGCUUGUUUUAGUAUCUUGAUUAUUGAUCUCUAUGUUCGCAUUUUUCCACUAUUCAUCAGAAAAUUGCACCUGCCCAAUGAUGGAGAAACUCAUUUCUGGAGUUGUUAGGUUGAUUCUUAUCACAAGCCUUUGCCCUCAUCCACAACUCUCUUUCUCUCUCUCUCACUCUCUCUCUUUCUUCAAACACAAACCCAUCCAAUCUAUCUGUCUUUUCCCAAUAUUUUGCCUUCUCUUUUGGUAAAUUAUUAUAGUGGCUGUUGCUGUGUAGAGGUAGUGAUGAAAAUCAAUUUUGACUGAGGGCAUUUGCACAUACUCUUUGAUCGUAAAGGUUCACUGAAUUGUUUUACUAAUUUUGAAGUGCAAGGAACUUGUGCAUAAAGUCAUUUUUUGUUCUCCAAAUCUUAUUUCGAGACAAUUUUUUUUUUUUUUUUUAAUUUAAUCAAUUUUGGCUAACCAUCAUGUGUUGACUUAGUGGGCAUAAAGGCCUGGGAGAAAUAAGAGAAUUGGUGGCCACCUAUCUAAGAUUUUGGUAUCUUACGCGUUUCUUAUCAACCAAUGUAGCAGAGUUAGGUGGUGUUUUGGUGAAAUUAGUCGAGAUGCAUGUCGUUGCAGCAAGGUGGGAGAGUGUCACAUAGGCUGGUUCUAUAUGGCCAAUUUAAAGAGGCUGAUAUUCAAUAUAGAGCUUUUGGGUUCUAAUGUUAUGGUAGCACCUCGAACCGUUCACUCCUGACAUAAAUUUAAUGAUAAGGACCUAAAAGCAUUCUUUCCCCAAGUACAUGGAUCGAAACAGGUAAAGGUGAAAGUUCAGGAUCAUGAUAAAUUUUGAAUCUUUGUUUCUUUCUGAAUUAGUGAUUCUUCUAUCCUUCUGUUUUCAAUAUUUUGUUUUUAUUCAUGAUAAAUGUUGUCUAUUUAUAGACAUGAAUAUAUGAUCAUAUACAUGACUUUUAUAUUGGGUGUAAAGUCAUUUGUCUAGACAAAUCUCAUACACAAUCACUUGACUUCAUAAUAUUUGACAUUAUAAAAUUGGGUUUGGCUUGAACUCAUGGUCAUUAAGAUUUCUAGAAUCUUAUUUUACUGUAUUCAUUUUGAUUUUUGUAAUUCUUCUUCUUAUUAUUAUUAUUAUAAUUGUUUUUUAAUGUGCAUAUAUAUAUAUAUAUAUAUACACAUAUAUGUAUAAAUUGGUGGGGGUGGGAUGCACUUCUGAUUAAGUUGGUUCCUUUCAAUUGUAUUUUCAGAAGAUGUGUUGAUUGUAUGGUAUUUGGACUUUUGUGUAUGAAGAAAUUGGCUUUGCUUUAGAAGUUGCAUCUGCCCGAUGAUGGAAUUCACUGAUUAGAGCAGAUACUAAUGAUCCUCAUUAUAAGCCUUUGCCAUUAACCAACUCACACAUAAUCUGUCUGUCUGUGUGUCUCUCUCUCUCUCUCUCUCUAUCUCUCUCUAUCUCUCUAUCUAUCUGCCUAUCUGAUAAUCCAUAUAUCUGAUUUCUUCUUUUUCUUCUUCUUUUUUGUGGGUGGUUAAGGAUGUGCAGAGGCUAGUAAUGAAAAUCAAAUACAUCUAGAAAUGAUGAAGUAUGAUUAUGAUUUCUGAGGGCAUCUUGGAAUUGGUUAAUCUACAUGAAACUGUCACUGACGUUGUAGUCGGAUUUUGGAGAAUAAAACUAUUUCAUUUUAAAAUGUUUCUUGAUGGUUAUGCUUCUCAUGCAAUGGGUUUUCUCUGUUUUAUUACCGAACAAGAUUUGCACUCGUUAGAUUUGAAGCAUGAAAUAUGGUAUGCUAUUAAAUUAGAAUGAUGAUAAUCAGAAUAAUAAUGAAAUGUUGAUAAUGAUAAAGAGAACAAUUUAAGGAGUAGGAAUAUGCAUAUUAUUAAUUAGUGUUUGCAUUUUGAAAUUGUCUGUGCCCGAUGAUGGAAAAACUCGUGCUCUGAAGCAUUUGCAUUGAUUUCUAGUACUAGCCUUUGCCCUCAACCAUGAACUCUUUCUCUCUCUCUCUCUCUCUUUCUCAAACUCUACAAACACAUACAUACAUACAUACAUACAUAUAUAUAUAUAUACAUUAUACGCUUUCCAUUUCCUUUCUUUUCUUUUAUAGUGGCUGUAGAUGAGUAGAGGCUAGUAUGCGAAUGAAAUGCAAGCAUUGUCAAUGAGGAAUUAAGCUAUGAGUUCUGAGGGCAUUGUCAUCCUGUGUUUGGUUUUAAUGCAUUACCUGUUAUCCUUAGUGUAGACGUAGUGUUUGCUUGGUGCUCUCUGUGAUGGUAAUUGCAUCUGCCUAAAUGGGAAUGUGUGAGUUGUAUAGUUGUAUAGUGCCCAUUUGAUAACCGAGGUAUGAGUCAAUGUCCUUAUUCUGCGCUCUUUGCCCUUUGGAGCCCUUGCAUGCUUCCUUUUGGGAGGUCAUACUAAUAGCGCUGUCUUUGCUGUGUGUUUGUUGCCUUUUGAAGUUUAUAUGAGUUUGAUCACUUGCUAUGUUGGUUGGUCUCCACACACACACACACACACACACACACACACACAAAAGGGAUUUAUUUGAUUUGAGUGUUAUUUUCCUGUUGGCUUGUGUGAUCAUUACCAUGACCAUGAGGGAAAGCUCAUGGGUGAGCAUCUGAUUUAUC
This is a long non-coding RNA of Cucurbita moschata (crookneck pumpkin), 3730 nucleotides long. RefSeq lists it as uncharacterized. Lineage: Eukaryota; Viridiplantae; Streptophyta; Magnoliopsida; Cucurbitales; Cucurbitaceae. The transcript is spliced from 3 exons. The record is from RefSeq and is a predicted model, not a curated record.